Molecule: ribosomal RNA, 115 nt
Filed under: Periophthalmus magnuspinnatus
Lineage: Eukaryota; Metazoa; Chordata; Actinopteri; Gobiiformes; Gobiidae
Source: RNAcentral
ACCUGGACUAAACCCAGAACUUAACUUGGACUAAACCCAGAAUUUAACCUGGACUACAUUGGGCCUGGUCAGGACUUGGAUGGGAGACCGCUGGGAAUACCAGGUGCCACAGGGG